This 892-nucleotide long non-coding RNA is filed under the name Marmota monax (woodchuck). Lineage: Eukaryota; Metazoa; Chordata; Mammalia; Rodentia; Sciuridae. The record is from RNAcentral.
UGGAUUUAUUCCAGGAAUGCAAAGAUGGUUCAACAUGAGAAAAAUCCUGUCAUGUACCAAAAUGUGUUUUAUCUCAUGAACCAACUAAAGGAAAAGACUACUGUGAGUAUAGAUAAAAACAAUUUGAUAACAUUCGAUCCCUAUUUAUGGUUUAAACUUAUAGAAAACUAGAAAUAGAUUGAACCUUUUCUGAACUUGAUCAAAAGCAACUUGUUUAAAGCCUGACAGCAAACAUCAGUGUGUAUUAGAAAACUUUUCCUGGCAUCCCUCAUAAUCAAGAGUUAAGGUGACAGCAUGCAUCUCUGUUGCUCAAAUUUGUCACCAACAAGAGUAGAAUAAGACAAGAAAAAAUAAACUAGGACACUGAACUGAAAAGGGAGGGACUCACCGCAGUUCUAGGAGAACAUGGUUACCUGCAUAGAAACUCAACGGGAUCAGCAGACACAUUAGAAUUGGUAAGAGACUUAGCAGUGCCUGUGGAUACAGGGUCAUUGAUUAAUGUCAAGUGCUGCAUAAUUGAUUAUGCACUUAUUUUCUUGUAGCUGCUGUAGGUCAGGGGUUUAGGAGCAGCAUGGUCCAGUGGGUCUGGCUCAGAGACCCGUGUGAGCUUGAGAUCAAGACGCUGCUGGAGCUGCAUCAUUGGAGGACCUGAUUGGCAGGAGGACCUGCUCCAAGGUGACGCAUCACAGGGCAUCAGCUCCUCUCUGGCACUGGUAGAAGGCCUGAUUUCCUGACGAGGGGGACCUGCUGACUUGGCUCCAUCAGCAUCCCUGUGACAUGUAGCUGGCUGUCCCUGAGCAGGUGACUACGGAGAGAUCAGACAAGAGGACACUGAGGUGACUUUUACAGCCAGUUCUCCAAAGUCACACACGGCCACUCCCACCAUCUCCUG